RNAcentral lists this ribosomal RNA (301 nucleotides) under uncultured bacterium. Its description in RNAcentral is "partial 16S ribosomal RNA". It matches the Rfam family "Bacterial small subunit ribosomal RNA", at positions 509 to 807 of the family's 1533-position model. The record is from RNAcentral.
CAGUAGCCACGGGAAUACGGAGGAUCCAAGCGUUAUCCGGAAUCAUUGGGUUUAAAGGGUCCGUAGGCGGUCUUGUAAGUCAGUGGUGAAAGCCCAUCGCUCAACGGUGGAACGGCCAUUGAUACUGCAGGACUUGAAUUAUUGGGAAGUUACUAGAAUAUGUAGUGUAGCGGUGAAAUGCUUAGAGAUUACAUGGAAUACCAAUUGCGAAGGCAGGUUACUACCAAUUGAUUGACGCUGAUGGACGAAAGCGUGGGUAGCGAACAGGAUUAGAUACCCCCGUAGUCCCUGUCUCUUAUAC